UCCCUCUCUCACCUUAUCUCCUUACCUGCCUAUCAUCUCCCUCUGGUACUCCUCCUCCUUCCUUUCCUUUCAUGGUCUUCUGUCCUCUCCUAUCAGAUUCCUCCUUCUCCAGCCUUUUAUUUCUUUCACCAAUUAACUUCCCAGCUCUUUUCUUCAUCUCUCCCUCUCUCCCGGAUUCACCUAUCACCUGCCAUCUUGUACUUCUUUCUCCCCUCCCCCCACCUUCUCCCCUUCCUUUUCAGUCCCGAAGAAGGGACUCAGCCCAAAACAUUGUCCGUUUACUCUUUUUCGUAGAUGCUGCCUGACUUGCUGAGUUCCUCCAGCAUUGUGUGUGUGUUGCUCUGAAUGAUUGAGUUUACCCUUUGCAAAAGAGUAAUAAUUCUUUCUUCUGUCACAAGUCCAAGAUCCUUCAAGUGGGAACAGCUUGCAUUUACCUAAGACCUUCAGCGGGGUAACAUGAUUAGCUCUUGUCACCAGAGUGUUAUGCAAAGCCAUCUGAUGCUUGGCCACAGGACAGGUGACAUCAGGACAGGAUUUAGAGAAGGAAAGAGAAACGUGUGGAGUAUGUCCACGAUACCUCGAGGAGCAGUACCGAGGAGAAAUCCAGUAUUUUGGUCAGAGGAAGAGAUGGUGCUGACCAUCCAGGACAUCUGGUCUAACCCAUGGCUGCUGAAAGCACAAUGGAAGCAAGUAGUCAGUACCCAAUGAUACAGGGUGGAAAGGGAAGGAAAAAGAAGUCCUGAAAGCAGUUGCAGGUGCUUUUAUUGUGAGCGGCUUGACCGUGGUGUGAAAUGGAAGAAAUCUCAACUGAAGAAGGACCCUUAUGCCCGUGAAAAUGACUGUGGCCUCAAUCUCUGAAGAUAAAGCAAGAACGCUUGUAAUCUUGGAGUUGGAUAAAAGGCGGGCAUUCUGUUGUGGGCCGAAAGGAUAACUGUGCAGAGUUGUUCUGCGUCCUUUGUUUUAAGAGCAAUCUUUAAAGUGCUUGUCAUUGACAAGCCACAUCAAAGCAGGCUCAGGCUUCUCUGAAUGCCCAGAAUGCCCAGAAUGCAGGACCUGAGAGCAAUGCCUUCUUGAAACAAUGAGCCCAAAAUACAGCAAUAUCCAUUCUCUGUACUCUCCGCCUGCCCCACCAAUGGCAGUGCAUUUUCCUAUGCUUUGGACCCCUCCCACACUACCCUCCUUCCACCGUGUGAAGUGUGCUCUGAGUGGCAACCAAGCCCCAGAUGGGGGGACCCCAAAGCUCCAGGCCCAUCAUAAUGGCUUUUAACAGCUCACUGUCAAUGGGAUUUUCACUGCUUUAACAUAUUUUUGAUUUUAUGAGAAAUUUAUAAAACAGUUUGAAAGACUUAAACUUAAGAGUGUUCAAAAGCAUUUGGGACUCAGGAUUUCCAGCUACUGAAGAAUCUCUUGAAUUCAUAAAAGGUUUAAAGCAAAUUUUAAGGCAAUUUUUAACUACUGUGAGUUGAUUAGAAAUACGAUAUUUAUUUAUUGGCUGAUUGAUUGAUUAAUUGGGAUAGAGAGCAGAAUAGGUCCUUGCUGCUCUGCAAGCAAUGCCGCUAGUACUCCCCUGACUGAACCCUAGCCCCCACCAAUUGAACCCAGAUCUGUACUGUAAAGCAUUAUGCUAACUACUGCAUUACCACGCAAAAGUAUAAAAGUAAAGAAAACUAAUUAAACUCAUCUUACGUCAAAUGAAUGGGGUUAUUGUUUGUAAUUAGUGACACAAAACAAAAGACUGGGCAAGUAGUGUAUCUAAAUUCGGAACAACCCACGGACUCAGUGGUGAGUUCAACGAGAGAUCACCCAUAGCUGACCACUUCGCGGUGUUAGGCUGCAGAAGUCAAAGAUGCUUCGAACAGCCAAGGGUGAAAGCGAAGGGGUUCAUAUCAGAGUCUGCUCUGCACAAAAUGCUUCGAAGUUGCAACCUGGCCAUUCUGUAAAGUCUGUUACGAGACUGGGUUGAAACUUUGUGCAGAGCUGAGCAGCUUCAUUAUCCUCCUGCUGAAGUGUUGAGGGGAAUUCAGUGGUCAGGCCCCAGAUUUCUGCGAUCUGAUUUUUUAAAAAAUCAUGUUGUUACAUGCUUUAAUUUCCUCAUUCAUGCCAAUUGGCAUGGAAAUGUUUUCUGUCAACUAUGAAGAGAAUGUAGUGAGACAGAGAACUAUACCUUUGUACAGCUGGGACCAGGAAGAAUAAGACAACAGCUGCCAGUUACC
Hypanus sabinus (Atlantic stingray) is the source of this 2213-nucleotide long non-coding RNA. RefSeq lists it as uncharacterized. The record is from RefSeq and is a predicted model, not a curated record. NCBI's taxonomy places the organism in Eukaryota, Metazoa, Chordata, Chondrichthyes, Myliobatiformes, Dasyatidae. The transcript has 3 exons.